AGUUGUAUCCUGGCUCANGAUNAACGCUGGCGAGAUGCUUUACACAUGCAAGUCGUACGCGAGUCUUUGACUCGAGUGGCGGACGGGUGAGUAACACGUAAGAAUUUGCCUUUAGGAGGGGGACAACAACUGGAAACGGUUGCUAAUACCCCAUAUGCUUUCGAGUGAAAUGGAUUUUUUCCGCCUAGAGAGAAGCUUGCGGCUGAUUAGCUUGUUGGUGAGGUAAUGGCUUACCAAGGCGACGAUCAGUAUCUGGUUUGAGAGGACGAUCAGACACACUGGAACUGAGACACGGUCCAGACUCCUACGGGAGGCAGCAGUGGGGAAUUUUCCGCAAUGGGCGCAAGCCUGACGGAGCAAUCUCGCGUGAGGGAUGACUGCCUAUGGGUUGUAAACCUCUUUUUUCAGGGAGGAAUAAAUGACGUGUACCUGAAGAAUAAGCAUCGGCUAACUCCGUGCCAGCAGCCGCGGUAAUACGGAGGAUGCAAGUGUUAUCCGGAAUCACUGGGCGUAAAGCGUCUGUAGGUGGUUUAAUAAGUCAACUGUUAAAUCUUGAGGCUCAACUUCAAAAUCGCAGUCGAAACUAUUAGACUAGAGUAUAGUAGGGGUAAAGGGAAUUUCCAGUGGAGCGGUGAAAUGCGUAGAGAUUGGAAAGAACACCGAUGGCGAAGGCACUUUACUGGGGCUAUUACUGACACUCAGAGACGAAAGCUAGGGUAGCAAAUGGGAUUAGAUACCCCAGUAGGUCCUAGCUGUAAACAAUGGAUACUAGAUGUUGAACAG
This 783-nucleotide ribosomal RNA is filed under the name uncultured cyanobacterium. RNAcentral describes it as "bacterial SSU rRNA". It matches the Rfam family "Bacterial small subunit ribosomal RNA", at positions 10 to 830 of the family's 1533-position model. The record is from RNAcentral. Lineage: Bacteria; Bacillati; Cyanobacteriota.